CCCGCAAAAAUUCAAUUUGGCUCCGCUGAUUAGACUUGGUUGAAGAUAUGGUUGCCUGAUGGAACGUCCCCAAUCCCUAAAUGUGGUGUCUUAGUAGAUAAUAAUCUAAAAGUGGUUGAUCUUAUAAAACCUCGAGGUGUUUUUGGAGAAAUAAAAAUUGGCUUGAAAAGUGAUGUUCUGCAUCCCCGAAGAAAAUUACUAAAGACACCCCAACUUUGGAUAAGGGAACCCCCAGAAGUGUGUUGAAGACCCCCAGAUAAGUUAUAAAUGUAUCCCCAAAAGUACU
Long non-coding RNA from Papaver somniferum (opium poppy), 286 nucleotides. RefSeq lists it as uncharacterized. The transcript is spliced from 3 exons. The record is from RefSeq and is a predicted model, not a curated record. NCBI's taxonomy places the organism in Eukaryota, Viridiplantae, Streptophyta, Magnoliopsida, Ranunculales, Papaveraceae.